AACGAACGCUGGCGGCGUGGAUAAGACAUGCAAGUCGAACGACUAUUUUCAGUGUAGCAAUACAUGGGAGUCGGGAGUGGCGCAAGGGUGCGUAACACGUGGGCAAUCUGCCGCGAAGACCGGGACAACCUGCUGAAAGGCGAGCUAAUACCGGAUGUGGAAUUUGGGAGGCAUCUUCCGGAUUCUGAAGUUGGGGACCGCAAGGCCUGACACUUCGCGAUGAGCCCGCGGCCUAUCAGCUAGUUGGUGAGGUAACGGCUCACCAAGGCUAAGACGGGUAGCUGGGUCUGGAGAGGACGACCAGCCACACUGGAACU
Molecule: ribosomal RNA, 317 nt
Filed under: uncultured bacterium
Lineage: Bacteria
Description: bacterial SSU rRNA
Rfam family: Bacterial small subunit ribosomal RNA
Source: RNAcentral